Molecule: ribosomal RNA, 373 nt
Filed under: uncultured eukaryote
Lineage: Eukaryota
Description: SSU rRNA
Rfam family: Eukaryotic small subunit ribosomal RNA
Source: RNAcentral
AGCUCCAAUAGCGUAUAUUAAAGUUGUUGCAGUUAAAAAGCUCGUAGUUGGAUUUCUGGGAGCGUGCCAAUGUCCGCCUUGUGCGAGCGCAGCGGCGCGCUUCCAUCCUUCUGUUAACGCCUCUCGGCAUUCACUUGCUGGUGGCGGGCUCAGAUAUUUUACCUUGAGAAAAUUAGAGUGUUUCAGGCAGGCUAGGCCGGAAUACAUUAGCAUGGAAUAAUGGAAUAGGACUACGGUCUCUUUGUUGGUUUGAGGGACUGCAGUAAUGAUUAAUAGGGAUAGUUGGGGGCAUUAGUAUUUAAUUGUCAGAGGUGGAAUUCUCAGAUUUGUUAAAGACUAACUUAUGCGAAAGCAUUUGCCAAGGAUGUUUUCA